ACUGGGACUGAGACACGGCCCAGACUCCUACGGGAGGCAGCAGUAGGGAAUCUUCCGCAAUGGACGAAAGUCUGACAGAGCAACGCCGCGUGAGUGAUGAAGGUUUUCGGAUCGUAAAGCUCUGUUGUUAGGGAAGAACAAGUGCGAGAGUAACUGCUCGCACCUUGACGGUACCUAACCAGAAAGCCACGGCUAACUACGUGCCAGCAGCCGCGGUAAUACGUAGGUGGCAAGCGUUGUCCGGAAUUAUUGGGCGUAAAGGGCUCGCAGGCGGUUUCUUAAGUCUGAUGUGAAAGCCCCCGGCUCAACCGGGGAGGGUCAUUGGAAACUGGGAAACUUG
This 340-nucleotide ribosomal RNA is filed under the name Bacillus sp. (in: firmicutes). Its description in RNAcentral is "bacterial SSU rRNA". It matches the Rfam family "Bacterial small subunit ribosomal RNA", at positions 312 to 644 of the family's 1533-position model. The record is from RNAcentral. Lineage: Bacteria; Bacillati; Bacillota; Bacilli; Caryophanales; Bacillaceae.